Molecule: transfer RNA, 93 nt
Filed under: Fragilariopsis kerguelensis
Lineage: Eukaryota; Bacillariophyta; Bacillariophyceae; Bacillariales; Bacillariaceae
Source: RNAcentral
AUUAUGACCGAGUGGUUAAUGCGAUGGAUUCCUAAGCAUUGAAAAUGCAUUUAUCUAUUGCACUCUGUGCGCGUAGGGUCGAAUCCUACCGUU